UGGGGAAUAUUGGACAAUGGGGGCAACCCUGAUCCAGCAAUGCCGCGUGUGUGAAGAAGGUCUUCGGAUUGUAAAGCACUUUCGACGGGGACGAUGAUGACGGUACCCGUAGAAGAAGCCCCGGCUAACUUCGUGCCAGCAGCCGCGGUAAUACGAAGGGGGCUAGCGUUGCUCGGAAUGACUGGGCGUAAAGGGCGUGUAGGCGGUUUACACAGUCAGAUGUGAAAUCCCCGGGCUUAACCUGGGAGCUGCAUUUGAUACGUGUAGACUAGAGUGUGAGAGAGGGUUGUGGAAUUCCCAGUGUAGAGGUGAAAUUCGUAGAUAUUGGGAAGAACACCGGUGGCGAAGGCGGCAACCUGGCUCAUGACUGACGCUGAGGCGCGAAAGCGUGGGGAGCAAACAGGAUUAGAUACCCUGGUAGUCCACGCUGUAAACGAUGUGUGCUAGAUGUUGGGUAACUUUGUUAUU
Molecule: ribosomal RNA, 468 nt
Filed under: uncultured bacterium
Lineage: Bacteria
Description: partial 16S ribosomal RNA
Rfam family: Bacterial small subunit ribosomal RNA
Source: RNAcentral